This 253-nucleotide ribosomal RNA is filed under the name uncultured bacterium. RNAcentral describes it as "partial 16S ribosomal RNA". It matches the Rfam family "Bacterial small subunit ribosomal RNA", at positions 524 to 776 of the family's 1533-position model. The record is from RNAcentral.
UACAGAGGGUGCGAGCGUUAAUCGGAAUUACUGGGCGUAAAGCGCGCGUAGGCGGCUUUGCAAGUCGGGUGUGAAAUCCCCAGGCUUAACCUGGGAACUGCAUUCGAGACUGCAUAGCUAGAGUAUCGGAGAGGUCGAUGGAAUUCCAGGUGUAGCGGUGAAAUGCGUAGAUAUCUGGAAGAACACCAGUAGCGAAGGCGGUCGACUGGCCCGUAACUGACGCUCAGGCACGAAAGCGUGGGUAGCGAACAGG